UUUAUUUUUCCGUAUCCAACAUUUGACCAUUCGUCUUAUUUGAAUUUUUUUAUGAUUAAUAUUUUUAUUAUUACUAGAUAAUAAAAUAUGAAUAAUGCUUUAUACAUGACUAAGUUUUUUAAGUUUUUGCACAAUUUUUUUAAAUAAGAUAAAUGGUUAAACAUUGGACACGGAAAAACA
Molecule: non-coding RNA, 180 nt
Organism: Oryza brachyantha (malo sina)
Lineage: Eukaryota; Viridiplantae; Streptophyta; Magnoliopsida; Poales; Poaceae
Source: Rfam